Molecule: long non-coding RNA, 3217 nt
Filed under: Nicotiana benthamiana
Lineage: Eukaryota; Viridiplantae; Streptophyta; Magnoliopsida; Solanales; Solanaceae
Description: long non-coding RNA (NBEN_LNC004201)
Source: RNAcentral
UUGCAAGAAGUGCCGACAGUCCCAUGGAAGAAUUUAAUCAUACAAAACCAAGCCAGACCAAACGCAGUGUUCAACCUGUGGCUAUUCCUACAGGACAGACUCCCAACACAGUCCCAUGGAAGAACUUAAUCAUACAAAACCAAGCCAGACCAAAAGCAGUGUUCAACCUGUGGCUAUUCCUACAGGACAGAUUACCAACAAAUGAUAGACUACAUAGUUGGGGAAUGAGUAUUGAUCAGCAAUACACCCUAUGCCAAAUCCAACCUGAAACAAGAGAUCAUCUGCUCAGGAACUGCCCUGUCACUGUGGAUCUAUGGGGAAUGAACUGGCUGCAGGAACAAUACCUACCUAGUAUUAGUUGGAACCAGAAAGUGCAAUGGUUUGAACUGGUUGCAGGAACAAUACCUACCUAGUAUUGAUUGGAACCAGAAAGUGCAAUGGUUGAUUACCAAAGCCAAGGGACGAACAUGUCGUGCAACCAUUUUUAAAAUGGUUACAGCUGAAGUUGCAUAUGCUAUCUGCUGGAAAGGAAUUCAAGAGUAUUCAACAAGACUUUUCGAUGUAAUACUGCUUUACUGAGAGACAUAGUGUAUAAUUGUAAUGUUAGAGGCGCCCCUAGAAUUAGGCAACAAUUGCAACACCUUAGAUUGUAGUAAAAGUUAGAUAGUUAGGAUAAUAAGUGUAGUUAAUAUGUUAGCACUCAGACAGUCGGCCGAGUUGAAGCUUGACUGUGGUUUUGUAAUGUAACUUCAUUGGUGAUUAAUGAAAAAACCUUAAUUACCAAAAAAAAAGAGAUCGUAAUAGGUGAAUGCAAUAUCUUAUGUUAUUAAGUGCAUGACCAACACUAUAGCUAAUUUUAUACCGUGUACUCAUAUGAGUUUGAAAUUCCAGUUUGAGGCGAUGCUUUCAAAUUCGACUGCCUAAUCUGAUUGUCCUUUUGAUUUGUUUAAAUGAGACUACCACAUAUCCCUACUACAUUACCUACUAGAAAAAAUUUUAACAUGAAAACGCACAACCAUUACAAAAUGCUAUCACUGAGCAUGGCAUUUCUUGUUACUGAUAUUUAACACAGUCCUAGACAACUUUUAACAUCAAUACUGCAGCUAAUUAACAGAUAUAUGUAACCACUAACAGAAAUGAACUUGCUCUUUUACUAAGAAGAAUAAAAUUUUAACAGUCCUAUAUCAGUCUAAUUAUACAUUCAGCAACAAUUCACACGACAUUAGUGAAUGAAAUAUCCAAAAUACGAAUCAGUGGAACAGUUAAAUCAACUUAAGCUUCAAAUCCUCAUGUAUAUUCAGGCUCAAUGUUUCCUGCUUACAAAUUUGCAAGGUUACAGCCGUGUACCUGGGAAUCAGUUUACAGCAGAUGAAGAAGGAGUCAGCAAUAGUUAGCGCAUGUAACAGUAGAGCAGCAAUCACCAGCAACAAAUAGGACCAAUUCAGGGGUAAACCAAAUCAGAAUAUCCAGGAAGAAAGAGAAUCAAUCCAAAACCAUACUGAACUUAAUCGAAAUUGGACUGGGAGAAUUAUAAAUCACCUUGAGUCACGAGAUUUAACCUACAAUCAGCUCAAACCCAUUCACACAGACUCGAAACUGAAACCAAGUGAUCCAAUACCCCUACAGCUACUAGAAAUGUGCAGUGAUGAUUUGACUAAGCCUCAAAACUACUUUCAAUGGCCAUGAAUAUGAAGAUUACCCAAGGAAGCAAUUGAACAGUAAACUGCUUUUUUGUUUUUUUGUUUGUUUUCUAUUGUUGUUAGAUUUUUGAAUAUUUUAGAGUUUUGAUCUCAAGUUUCAGAUAUGAAACUUGUAGAGAAUGGGAGGGAAUUUUGUGAGGCUCCAAAACUUGUUAGUGAAGAAAAGGUCAUGCCCUUUUAUAAGCACAAUCAAAUUUUCAGUUUUUCUUUUAGUCCCUCCUAAUUUUUAGUUGUUGUCCCUCAUUUUUAACCUUGUUAUUCAAGGAAACACCCUGAGUUUAUUGAGAUAUUUACUAGGGUCCUAUUCUAGAAAGGUCUACACAAUUCUAAUGUGAUCUACCAUGUUCUACCUAAUACCAAAUACCUAAACUAACCUUUAAUACCUCUAAAAUUACUUAUCCUAACCCCUACAUAUAAUCAUCCAGUUAACAAACUUAAUCAAACUAAACACACGACAAAGUGAUCAAUUGUGAAUGAAAUAAGCCAUUCAAUCAAAAACAUAAAACCAACUGAACCUAAUCAAAGUUAAUAACCAAAUAAUACUUCACACUAUUACUGACUACACACAAUUAUAAUUGAGACUAUAAAUAACGAGUCAUUAUUCAAACAGCAAAAUCGACACAAAUCUAUCCUUAACAGAAUGAAUAACCAUUAACACCUAAAACUAAUUAUGAAUCAAGUAGAUAGGAGUCAGAAUGAAACAGAAGUAAAGGAGGGACCAUGAUUUCGGGUUGACAAUUUUACUAAACAAAAUUAAGAAGCUACACAGCCAUGGAAGGUUAGUUAACAUUAAGAAAAAGAAAAUAAAAGAAACUAAACUCGAAGAUUCACCAACUCACUUCAAGACUUCGGUCAAAUUGCUUCCCAAAUUCAGCGAAUUCAGACGAUGUUUGGACUCUAAUGAUGAUCAAUUUCCCAUGAGGAAACCCCAGGGAUCUUAUCGUACUCACUCAGUCAGGAUUGGGUUAUUUAGGGCUUUGGCUGGAAAAAUUGAAAUUGAUAUUCGGGCACUUCCAGCUAGAUUCGAGACAAGUGGUUAUGGGGGUUAGGUAGAGGGUGCUCGGGCGACCCUAGGGUAUUAGUUUGGUGUCGUUUGGAGUAACCGUCGUCAUGACCGGAAAACUUUGAUCGAUUAUUCGACGACCUGGGCUGGGAUUUGGAGGAAAUGGACUAGGGAUUCAAGGUGAGGGAGACGAGGAAAAGUUGGGGUGUUAAUCUAAUGGCCAUUGGUGGUGGUGGCAUUCACCACCGGCGAAGGCUCCGACGGGGUCGGUGGUGUUACAGCAGAUACGUACGAGGAAGAAAACAUAUGCUUUAGAGUUUGAUUUAUUUUUAGGACAGUUAUAUCCAAAUGCACAAAUCAAUUAUGACCAUCAAAUGAGAAUGAAUAGAUGGACAUGAUUUAUUUGUUACUAACCAGCCUGAAAAUGACGUAGUAACCUCUCCGAUACGUCGUUUUAUGAUUUUCGGAGGGAUGGGGCUUGGAUCGAGCUGGGGAAGGGGCUUGGGCAAUUCUG